RNAcentral lists this ribosomal RNA (905 nucleotides) under Salmonella enterica subsp. enterica serovar Montevideo. RNAcentral's name for it is "partial 23S ribosomal RNA". It matches the Rfam family "Bacterial large subunit ribosomal RNA", at positions 1 to 838 of the family's 2925-position model. Lineage: Bacteria; Pseudomonadati; Pseudomonadota; Gammaproteobacteria; Enterobacterales; Enterobacteriaceae. The record is from RNAcentral.
GGGUUGUGAGGUUAAGCGACUAAGCGUACACGGUGGAUGCCCUGGCAGUCAGAGGCGAUGAAGGACGUGCUAAUCUGCGAUAAGCGCCGGUAAGGUGAUAUGAACCGUUAUAACCGGCGAUUUCCGAAUGGGGAAACCCAGUGUGACUCGUCACACUAUCAUUAACUGAAUCCAUAGGUUAAUGAGGCGAACCGGGGGAACUGAAACAUCUAAGUACCCCGAGGAAAAGAAAUCAACCGAGAUUCCCCCAGUAGCGGCGAGCGAACGGGGAGGAGCCCAGAGCCUGAAUCAGCAUGUGUGUUAGUGGAAGCGUCUGGAAAGGCGCGCGAUACAGGGUGACAGCCCCGUACACAAAAGCGCAUAUGCUGUGAGCUCGAUGAGUAGGGCGGGACACGUGGUAUCCUGUCUGAAUAUGGGGGGACCAUCCUCCAAGGCUAAAUACUCCUGACUGACCGAUAGUGAACCAGUACCGUGAGGGAAAGGCGAAAAGAACCCCGGCGAGGGGAGUGAAAAAGAACCUGAAACCGUGUACGUACAAGCAGUGGGAGCCCCACCACUAAGCCAGUGGUGAACUCCACAUACGCAUCCUUUGCUGAGGAUACGGUUAACGGAGCGAAAGCGACGUUCAACCGCAAAAGAAGCAGAGGGGGCUUAGUGGUGGGGUGACUGCGUACCUUUUGUAUAAUGGGUCAGCGACUUAUAUUCUGUAGCAAGGUUAACCGAAUAGGGGAGCCGGAGGGAAACCGAGUCUUAAUUGGGCGUUAAGUUGCAGGGUAUAGACCCGAAACCCGGUGAUCUAGCCAUGGGCAGGUUGAAGGUUGGGUAACACUAACUGGAGGACCGAACCGACUAAUGUUGAAAAAUUAGCGGAUGACCUGUGGCUGGGGGUGAAAGGCCAAUCAAAC